This 363-nucleotide unclassified non-coding RNA is filed under the name Hevea brasiliensis (rubber tree). The record is from RNAcentral. Lineage: Eukaryota; Viridiplantae; Streptophyta; Magnoliopsida; Malpighiales; Euphorbiaceae.
GAUCAGUAAAGUGAAAUACUUACAUAUAUAUAUUAGAAGGAGACAGGGAAACCAACAUUCAACAUAUUCAUGUAGACAAACACGUAUGUAACAUCACUAUGCUGAGCAACGGUAUUAAGCUCAAUUCUUGGUGCUUUCUCUCCCAGUCCCAGAAUAGUGAAUAGGGGCGUCUGCUUUACAAACAACACGAGUUCUAUGGAGCUGGAGAUGUGGCGGCAGCUGGCCCAUUGGAACAUCAGGCAAAUCCCAUAUUGAAAAUUUCCUUUCUUUGUUUUCUUGCUUACUCAUUGUUUCUCCUUUGAUGCUUGUAUUGAUUAACCGAUUGUUGUUCUUGCUCUCUCUCUUUCUCUCUCUCUCUCUCUC